GUGAAGCGGGAAAAGCUCAAAUUUAAAAUCUGGCGUCCUCCGGGCGUCCGAGUUGUAAUCUGGAGAAGCGUUUUCCGCGUCGGACCGUGUACAAGUCUUCUGGAACGGAGCGUCAUAGAGGGUGAGAAUCCCGUCUCUGACACGGACUACCGAUGCUUUUGUGAUGCGCUCUCGAAGAGUCGAGUUGUUUGGGAAUGCAGCUCAAAAUGGGUGGUAAAUUCCAUCUAAAGCUAAAUAUUGGCCAGAGACCGAUAGCGAACAAGUACCGUGAGGGAAAGAUGAAAAGCACUUUGGAAAGAGAGUUAAACAGUACGUGAAAUUGUUGAAAGGGAAACGCUUGAAGUCAGUCGCGUUGGCCGAGACUCAGCCUGGCUUGCCUGGUGUACUUCUCGGUUGACGGGUCAGCAUCAGUUUUGACCGUCGGAUAAAGGUUGGAGGAAUGUGGCAUCCCUCGGGAUGUGUUAUAGCCUCUGAUUCGCAUACGGCGAUUGGGACUGAGGAACUCAGCACGCCUUUAUGGUCGGGGUUCGCCCACGUAACGUGCUUAGGAUGCUGGCAUAAUGGCUUUAAGCGACCCGUCUUGAAACACGGACCAAGGAGUCUAACAUGCCCGCGAGUGUUUGGGUGUUAAACCCGAGCGCGUAAUGAAAGUGAAAGUUGAGAUCCCUGUCG
This 672-nucleotide ribosomal RNA is filed under the name Athelia abscondita. RNAcentral describes it as "partial large subunit ribosomal RNA". It matches the Rfam family "Eukaryotic large subunit ribosomal RNA", at positions 93 to 749 of the family's 3401-position model. The record is from RNAcentral. Lineage: Eukaryota; Fungi; Basidiomycota; Agaricomycetes; Atheliales; Atheliaceae.